UCUUGAGAGCGGCGGACGGGUGAGUAAUGCCUAGGAAUCUGCCUGGUAGUGGGGGAUAACGUUCGGAAACGGACGCUAAUACCGCAUACGUCCUACGGGAGAAAGCAGGGGACCUUCGGGCCUUGCGCUAUCAGAUGAGCCUAGGUCGGAUUAGCUAGUUGGUGAGGUAAUGGCUCACCAAGGCGACGAUCCGUAACUGGUCUGAGAGGAUGAUCAGUCACACUGGAACUGAGACACGGUCCAGACUCCUACGGGAGGCAGCAGUGGGGAAUAUUGGACAAUGGGCGAAAGCCUGAUCCAGCCAUGCCGCGUGUGUGAAGAAGGUCUUCGGAUUGUAAAGCACUUUAAGUUGGGAGGAAGGGCAGUUACCUAAUACGUGAUUGUUUUGACGUUACCGACAGAAUAAGCACCGGCUAACUCUGUGCCAGCAGCCGCGGUAAUACAGAGGGUGCAAGCGUUAAUCGGAAUUACUGGGCGUAAAGCGCGCGUAGGUGGUUUGUUAAGUUGGAUGUGAAAUCCCCGGGCUCAACCUGGGAACUGCAUUCAAAACUGACUGACUAGAGUGUGGUAGAGGGUGGU
Molecule: ribosomal RNA, 579 nt
Filed under: Pseudomonas sp. EECC-116
Lineage: Bacteria; Pseudomonadati; Pseudomonadota; Gammaproteobacteria; Pseudomonadales; Pseudomonadaceae
Description: bacterial SSU rRNA
Rfam family: Bacterial small subunit ribosomal RNA
Source: RNAcentral